UACGGGGGGAGCAAGCGUUGUUCGGAUUUACUGGGCGUAAAGGGCGCGUAGGCGGUCAGCACAAGUCAGUUGUGAAAUCUCCGGGCUUAACUCGGAAAGGUCAACUGAUACUGUGCGACUAGAGUGCGGAAGGGGCAACUGGAAUUCUCGGUGUAGCGGUGAAAUGCGUAGAUAUCAAGAGGAACACCGAUUGCGAAGGCAGCUCGCUGGGACGUCACUGACGCUGAGACGCGAAAGCGUGGGGAGCAAACAGG
This 254-nucleotide ribosomal RNA is filed under the name uncultured bacterium. Its description in RNAcentral is "partial 16S ribosomal RNA". It matches the Rfam family "Bacterial small subunit ribosomal RNA", at positions 524 to 776 of the family's 1533-position model. The record is from RNAcentral.